Long non-coding RNA from Centrocercus urophasianus (Greater sage-grouse), 388 nucleotides. RefSeq lists it as uncharacterized. The record is from RefSeq and is a predicted model, not a curated record. NCBI's taxonomy places the organism in Eukaryota, Metazoa, Chordata, Aves, Galliformes, Phasianidae. The transcript has 4 exons.
GCCGCACCGCUUCGGGAACAGCCGUGCUGCGUGUGGAGCGGCACGAGACCAAAGCGCAGUCAGGAGCGGACAGCAUAUUACUUCAAUGUAGGACAUCAGCAGUAUUCUCAAUACAUGAAAACCCAGACAGUACUUCCUAUCAGAUUGCUAAAGAUCUCCCAGUCUCUCUGGGACUUGUAUUGAGGAAUGCAUUUCUGAUUCCAUUGGACUUAGCAGGAGUCAUGACUAUGCUUGAAAAUUUCAUGCAGUCUAUCUGCAACUCACCUUCCCAGGUAUGAGGCACAAGCUUCCAGAGCCUGCUUAUCAUUCAGACACUGACUGAGGAAUUCUUUGAAGUUCUGAUUAGACUUUGCUACUUGCUCCUGAAUAUGGAUCACAGCUGGUUGAG